GUGAUGAUGUCUUGGGGAGCCUAGAGGUGUGAAGAGGCGGUUAUCCCACUGA
RNAcentral lists this small nucleolar RNA (52 nucleotides) under Pyrobaculum neutrophilum V24Sta. RNAcentral describes it as "PNEsR122". Lineage: Archaea; Thermoproteati; Thermoproteota; Thermoprotei; Thermoproteales; Thermoproteaceae. The record is from RNAcentral.